GACGAACGCUGGCGGCGUGCUUAACACAUGCAAGUCGAACGGAAAGGCCCUGCUUUUGUGGGGUGCUCGAGUGGCGAACGGGUGAGUAACACGUGAGUAACCUGCCCUUGACUUUGGGAUAACUUCAGGAAACUGGGGCUAAUACCGGAUAGGAGCUCCUGCUGCAUGGUGGGGGUUGGAAAGUUUCGGCGGUUGGGGAUGGACUCGCGGCUUAUCAGCUUGUUGGUGUGGUAGUGGCUUACCAAGGCUUUGACGGGUAGCCGGCCUGAGAGGGUGACCGGCCACAUUGGGACUGGGAUACGGCACAGACUCGUACGGGAGGCAGCGGUGGGGAAUAUUGCACAAUGGGAGGAAGCCUGAUGCAGCAACGCCGCGUGCGGGAUGACGGCCUUCGGGUUGUAAACCGCUUUCGCCUGUGACGAAGCGUGAGUGACGGUAAUGGGUAAAGAAGCACCGGCUAACUACGUG
Molecule: ribosomal RNA, 468 nt
Filed under: uncultured bacterium
Lineage: Bacteria
Description: partial 16S ribosomal RNA
Rfam family: Bacterial small subunit ribosomal RNA
Source: RNAcentral